RNAcentral lists this ribosomal RNA (468 nucleotides) under uncultured bacterium. Its description in RNAcentral is "partial 16S ribosomal RNA". It matches the Rfam family "Bacterial small subunit ribosomal RNA", at positions 28 to 507 of the family's 1533-position model. The record is from RNAcentral.
GACGAACGCUGGCGGCGUGCUUAACACAUGCAAGUCGAACGGAAAGGCCAUGCUCUUGUUGGGUGCUCGAGUGGCGAACGGGUGAGUAACACGUGAGUAACCUGCCCUUGUCUUUGGGAUAACAUUAGGAAACUGGGGCGAAUACCGGAUAGGAGCUCCUGAUGCGUGGGGGGGGUUGGAAAGUGUCGGCGGUUGGGGAUGGACUCGCUGCUUACCAGCUGGUUGGUGGGGUAGGUGCUGACAAAGGCUUUGACGGGUAGCCGGCCUGAGAGGGUGACCGGGCACAUUGGGACUGAGAUACGGCCCAGACGCCUACGGGAGGCAGCAGUCGGGAAUAUGGCACAAUGGGCGGAAGCGUGAUGCAGCAACGCCGCGUUCGGGAUACCGGCCUUCGGGUGAUAAACCGCUUUCUCCGGUGACGAAGCGUGAUUGACGGUAAUGGGUAAAGAAGCACCGGCUAACUACGUG